Taeniopygia guttata (zebra finch) is the source of this 1278-nucleotide non-coding RNA. The record is from RefSeq and is a predicted model, not a curated record. Lineage: Eukaryota; Metazoa; Chordata; Aves; Passeriformes; Estrildidae.
AUGGGCUGGAAUAUGGGAUAUGGGCUGGGAUAUGUGAUAUGGGGCUGGGCCAUCCGAUAUGGGGCUGGGCCAUGCGAUAUUAUUGUAGGCCAUGUUAUAUGAGGCUGGGCCGUGCUCUAUGGGGCCAGGGCAUGUGAUACGAAGCUAGGCCAUGCUGUAUUCUGGUCAGCCAUGCUAUGUGAAGCCAGGCCGUAUGAUAUUAUGCAUGGAAGGAGGGAGGUGGCGCAUGGCAGACAUGGCUCUGCCCCACGGCCCUCACAGGGCACUCGGGCUGCCCAGCCUGGGAGCGGCAGGCUGAGGGCACGGCUCAGGCUGUGCACCACUUCCUUGGGAGGAAAGGGUUAAAGGGUUCUUCACCCAGAGGAUGGUCGGGCACUGGAACGGGCUGCCCAGGGAUGUGGUCACAGCACCGAGCCUGAUUGCUCAAGAUUCGCGUGGACAGCAGCACAUGGAGGAUUCUUGGGCGUUCUGUGCAGGGCCAGGACUGGACUCGAUCCUUGCUCAGCUGUGCAGGUUCACAGGAUCACUGAGACAGAAUCACUGAGCUUCCUGAGCUGGAAUGGACCCAGGAUCACCAAAUGACUUAGGUUGCAAAAGGCCUCUGAGACCAUCAAGUCCAACCUAUACCCAGUGCCCCUGGUCAGCUACAUCAGGGCACUGAGUGCCACGGCCACACACCUCCCUGGGGCCACACAUUCCAAUGUCUCAUCACUCUUUCUGUGAAGAAAUUCCUCCUGAUACCCAAGUGCAGCUUAAGACUGUUGAGGAUCAAAGCCCAAUUCCUGUCCUGGCACAGGACGCCCCCAGCAAUCCCACCUUGUCCAAAGCUCCUUGAGCUCCAUCAGGCUCGCUGCCCUGAUCACUUUCCUGGGGAGCCUGUUCUGGUUCACCCAAGAGGUUUGGGAGCCCCACUUUGCUUCUCACAGCUGGUCUGACCACUGGCAGCAGCCACCCUCAACACGGGUUUUUAUCAGAUUAAUUAUUUUUUUCCUCUUCCAGGUUUUGCAGAACCUGGGUGGAAUUUAGGCCCCUUAGCCCAGUUUAUGUGGAUUUCUGUGGGGUCAAUGUCUAAGUCCUGCUAGUUACAAAGUCUUGUAAUAUCUCCAUGCUUAAUUUUUGGGGUAAAAGUGGCAAAUUCUGGUCCUUGUGGAAUACACUGAAGAACACAAUCAUGCUUUCCUUUAGAUGCAGUUAAAACCCGAGUCUUCUCUGUGUUCACGUUUGAAAACUGUGGGUUUGAGUUUGUACUUACUAUUCUAAUAAAAUAUCUGAAAUGAA